Molecule: long non-coding RNA, 1749 nt
Organism: Callithrix jacchus (white-tufted-ear marmoset)
Lineage: Eukaryota; Metazoa; Chordata; Mammalia; Primates; Cebidae
Source: Ensembl
GGAGAUGAAUGUCAGUCCUAGUUGCUUUCUGGCCAGGGUGUCUCAACCUGCUACAGCCUCUCUCUCUCUCCCUUGCUUGUCUUAGGAAAAGACAUUGUACACAGCUAUCUGUAAGGUCACAUCUGGUCUUGUGGGUAAGAACUUACUAUUAAUAAUAUCAGAUUUGGCUGCCCCUGGAGAUUCAAGUUCUCUGCCCUCUGUGGCUCCUGGUCCUAAACCCAGUUUUCUUCUCUUCCACUGCCCCUCAGCAUUUCCAAGUCUUGUGUAGGCCCAGAAACUCUCAGGUGCUUCUUUCACCCUUCAAAGCUGUCCUCAAACCCACAGCCCAGGAGCCUCUCACUCUCAUGGUGACCCCUGCCACCAUGUCAUGUGGAAUGCAGAGCCAUGUCAAACUGGGAAUUCUCUGGAGACUUGUCAUCUCUGCAGAAAAUGACCAGAUAUACAUUCAAACGAAGUGAAGACAGCAUGUUAAAGAGAUACCUGCACUCCCAUGUUCAUUGCAGCAUUAUUUACAAUAGCCAAAAUAUAGAAUCAACCUAAGUGCUCAUCAAUGGAUGAAUGGAUAAAGAAAAUGUGCUCUAUAUAUACAAUGGAAUACAACUCAACUAUUAAACAGUAAGGAAGUCCUGCCAUUUGCAACAUGAAUGAAUUUGGAGGACAUUGUGCUCAGUGAAAUAAGCCAUGCAUGGAAAGAUGAGUUUACUUAUAUAUUGAAUCAAAAAAGUUGAAUUUCAGCAGAGAGUAAAAUGGUGAGUGCCCAGGGGCUGGGUUGGGGAAAGUGGGGUGAUGUGGUUAUGUUGAUCAAAGUUGUGUCAGCCAGACAAAAGGAGUAAGUUCUGGAGAUCUAUUGUAUUGCACGGUGACUGUAGUUAAUAAUAAUGUGCCCUUGAAAAUUGCUAAGACAGCCUGGGUGCUGUGGCUCAUGCCUGUAAUCCCAGCACUUUUGGAGGCCGAGGAAGGCAGAUCACGAGGUCAGGAGUUCAAGACCAGCCUGGCCAAUAUGAUGAAACCCUGUCUCUACUAAUAAUACAAAAAUUAGCUGGGCAUAGCCACGCCAGCCUGUAGUCCCUGCUACUCGGGAGGCUGAGGCAGAAGAAUUGCUUGAACCCGGGAGCAGAGGUUGCAGCAGUGGGCCGAGAUCAUGCCAAUAUACUCCUGCCGAGGCGACAGAGUGAGACUCCAUCUCAAAAAAAGAAAAGAAAAUUGCUAAGACAGUAGACCUUCAAUGUUCUCACCACAAAAAAUGAUAAGUAGGCAAGGUGAGGUAUCUGCUAAUUAGCUUGAUUUAAUUAUUGUACAAUGUGUAUACACAUAUCAAAACAUUGAGUUGUAUGCUAUUUGUAUAAAAUGUAUAUUUGUCAGUUAAAUCUUAAAGCUGGAAAAAAUCAAUAAAAUAUGUAUUUGUUUAUUGCCUUUUUCAACUAGAAUGUAAGGGCAAGGAAGGUAGGGAUUUUGUUGAUGUUAAUCAUUAAUAUAUGUCUGGUGCCUAGCAGAGUAUCUGGCAUAUAAGAAAUAUUCAUAAACUAUUUACCAAAUUAAUAUAGGAAAAUUGUAGGCUCUAUCUCACUUCCCUUUUCCUUUCUCCACACCCCCAACUUUGGUCUAUAAUAGUAGUUCUCAAUUCUACCAACAUAUAGAAUCAUCUGGGGAGCUUUAAAAACAUGCCAAUCCCUGAGCUUCACCCAGACUAAUUAAAUCAGAAUUUCUUGGAGCAAGGCACAGACACAGGAGUGCUGUAAAAGCUGCCCA